RNAcentral lists this ribosomal RNA (691 nucleotides) under uncultured beta proteobacterium. RNAcentral's name for it is "bacterial SSU rRNA". It matches the Rfam family "Bacterial small subunit ribosomal RNA", at positions 28 to 714 of the family's 1533-position model. Lineage: Bacteria; Pseudomonadati; Pseudomonadota; Betaproteobacteria. The record is from RNAcentral.
AGUAACGCUGGGCGGCAUGCCUUACCAUGCAGUCGAACGGCAGCAUGGGUGCUUGCACCUGAUGGCGAGUGGCGAACGGGUGAGUAAUAUAUCGGAACAUGUCCGGAAGUGGGGGAUAACGUAGCGAAAGUUACGCUAAUACCGCAUAUGCCCUGAGGGGGAAAGGAGGGGAUCGUAAGACCUUUCGCUUUCGGAGUGGCCGAUAUCAGAUUAGCUAGUUGGUGAGGUAAAGGCUCACCAAGGCGACGAUCUGUAGCGGGUCUGAGAGGAUGAUCCGCCACACUGGAACUGAGACACGGUCCAGACUCCUACGGGAGGCAGCAGUGGGGAAUUUUGGACAAUGGGCGCAAGCCUGAUCCAGCCACGCCGCGUGAGUGAAGAAGGCCUUCGGGUUGUAAAGCUCUUUCAGCCGGAAAGAAAUCGCACUUGCUAAUACUAAGUGUGGAUGACGGUACCGGAAGAAGAAGCACCGGCUAACUACGUGCCAGCAGCCGCGGUAAGACGUAGGGUGCGAGCGUUAAUCGGAAUUACUGGGCGUAAAGCGUGCGCAGGCGGUUUUUUAAGACAGACGUGAAAUCCCCGGGCUUAACCUGGGAACUGCGUUUGUGACUGGAAGGCUAGAGUAUGGCAGAGGGGGGUAGAAUUCCACGUGUAGCAGUGAAAUGCGUAGAUAUGUGGAGGAAUACCGAUG